Molecule: transfer RNA, 85 nt
Filed under: Pseudomonadota bacterium
Lineage: Bacteria; Pseudomonadati; Pseudomonadota
Also listed under: 5 other names
Description: tRNA-Leu
Rfam family: tRNA
About the family: Transfer RNA (tRNA) molecules are approximately 80 nucleotides in length. Their secondary structure includes four short double-helical elements and three loops (D, anti-codon, and T loops). Further hydrogen bonds mediate the characteristic L-shaped molecular structure. tRNAs have two regions of fundamental functional importance: the anti-codon, which is responsible for specific mRNA codon recognition, and the 3' end, to which the tRNAs corresponding amino acid is attached (by aminoacyl-tRNA synthetases). tRNAs cope with the degeneracy of the genetic code in two manners: having more than one tRNA (with a specific anti-codon) for a particular amino acid; and 'wobble' base-pairing, i.e. permitting non-standard base-pairing at the 3rd anti-codon position.
Source: RNAcentral
GCCCAGGUGGCGGAAUUGGUAGACGCACUACCUUGAGGUGGUAGCGACGAUAGUCGUGGGGGUUCGAGUCCCCCCUUGGGCACCA